Molecule: long non-coding RNA, 2727 nt
Organism: Pezoporus occidentalis (night parrot)
Lineage: Eukaryota; Metazoa; Chordata; Aves; Psittaciformes; Psittacidae
Exons: 3
Source: RefSeq, a predicted model, not a curated record
UUCAGUAAUGUAAUGCUCUCUGAAUAUGAAUGAGUAACUAUUUGCUCUCAACUUCCUUAACACAGGUCAAGAAUUGCAAGGUUUGGUUUCUCCUUUAAAAAAGGAAAAGGAAUACCUCCUGCAGUUUACCUCCCAAAGGCUUCUCUCCUGUAUGCAAUGAUAAAAUAUGAUCCUGAUGAGAGAAUUGCUGCCCAUCAAGCAUUACAGCACCCUUAUUUUCAAGAACUCUGGCAAGUGACUUCGAAUCACUUCAAUCUUGAAGACUAAAAUUAAAAAGUGGGGGGAGCCCUAUAUGCUUAUUAUUUAAAGUGGACUGAAAUGAAGUUUGCUUACAGUGGUAGUACUAAGCUUGCAAUACAAUGAACAUAAUUCAGUUAUUUGCACUGAGUCCAUACUUCACCUAAAGCAGAGCUGAUGUUUUACUCUUCUUUUUUCCUCAAACUUUUUAGGGCAGGUGAAACACAAAAAAUUAAGAUUACUGAGAAAUACAUCAGGGCAGGUAAUUCUGUGUUUGUGGCACAUUUCAAUGGCAAGUCAAAAGACAGGUAAUAUUUAAGUGGAAGAAUUGGCAGACCACUUAGAGAAAGUAAUUUGUGGCAUUGAGCUUGUUAGCUAGAAACAAAUGUUUUACUUAAGCUGACUUAAGGUUUUAUUGAGUCUGCCUGAACACUAAUCUUGAUUUGGUUUCCCCCUGCUCCCAAGCCCUGAAAACACAUGAGUUAGAAUUUAGAAGCUGUGAUACCACACAAUCCCUUCAGCAGACUUUUAUCAUAGUUGCUUUUACUUAAAGAAUCACUUCCACAUGUUUGGUUUUUUUUUAAUAUAAUAAUCUUUUUGCUAUCUUUGAACUAAAGAGCUUUAUAGAAGAAGUUGUAGCAGAGGCACAAAGUGCUUUUGCCUUUCUUCUCAGGCCUUCAGUCUACAUCUUGAGCAAGUAAUUUUUUUUACUUAAUUAUCCUAUACUUAGAUGAUAUCCUAAAAGAUAUGAAAAUGAAGAAAAUAAGAAAAUGGGAAAAUCCUAAACUUGUAUUUGACAUUGGAAAUUAAAAUAAAAAAAUCUGAUUAAAAGUUCUGGCAAACUAAAACUCAAGUUUAUGUUCAAGCUAUGUGAAAAAUACUCAAUAUACUCACUCUGAAGAGUUCCCUGUAUCAGCAAGGUGAGACAGAAGUCAGUACUAUGUGAAAAUCCCUCAAAUACAGGUUUUUCUCAAAAAAGCAAACUGCAUUAGCAAAAAAAAAAAAAAAAAUUAUGAAUUAUUUUCUGCUGUGCAUUUAACCUCAAAGGCACAAAUUCUCCUUCCAUAGAAGCAGCGACUUUUUCCACCAGUUUAACUCUGCGGUUCAUCAAUGUAGGCUUUGUAAGGAAUUCCUUUGGGAAAAACUGCAAGAAAUAUCAAGUGAGGCAGGAAUUUUUAAAAAAGAAUUAGCUGAAGUGGCAUUUGGCAGAGCUCAGUGAGCUCAGUACACACCCUGCAUCGAGCUUUUUAUUUUCCUUUUAGAACCUGAUGAAGGAGAAGGUUUGUUAAAAAUAACAUGAAAAGAUUCUUUGAGCUUCAGUAUUAGAAUGGAAUAUUAUCUACAAAAUACAGGAUUUCAUAUUACAUUAUAAAUGACAGCUAACCUUUGUAUAGCAUUAGAUGUAAAAAAAUCUUUAUUUUUCAGUCAGCUGUGGCAAGUGCUCACCUCCUGUGUUCAGUAACUUCAACCUCCACUUUUACUGAGGAUGUGCCGAUUAUGAAUAGUAAGAGUUGGAAAAUAUUAUGAAGAGCUGUGUCUAUAGUAGAACUCAGAGUUCUUUUCAGGUUCAUAACCAUGCUUUGCAGACAAAGAGAAAUAAGCACUAUUCUACUAUCAGAUUUACACUGGAACACAAUCAGUUUUUGGGAAACAAAAUGAAGAGUUAUUCAUUUUCCUACAACUCCUCUAAAAAUCCUUGCUCUGCAUUAAUUCUGCAACUGUGAACAGGCAAGCCAGAGGAUCACCAAGUGGAAAGAAUCUGACAACCGGUACCCUUUUGUUACUGCAGACAGGGGAGAGGUCAGAAGUUUUGUAUAUCCUCCCAAGUACUGAAUUUCAGAAGAGACCUCAUAUUUCACAUAGGAACAGCAAAAUAAUUCAGUUUUAGGCACAGAAGUUUUACCAAAGUUACGAGUGUUCUCAGUGGGCCCUGAGUAACAAAAAGAUUCUGCAGAAUUUGCCAUUGUAUUGCAGCCUUUCAAGCAAGGGCAGUUUAAGAAAUCAUGUUAGGUGCAACAUAGGAAACUUAAGAAAGUCAUGUUAGAAGAGCAAAAGAAGGCUCAAAAGUUUGAUGCAGAAGCUACUCUUAAGAAUCUGAUCUGUUGUACAAAGCGUGUGGUACUAGAAUAUCUGUAAUUGCAUUCUCUGGGAAUAAUACAAUAGAUAAGGUUAUAAAAAAGCCACAGAAACCUCCUGCCUCUAAAUGAAUAAAGAAACUGGGCUGCAAUGCUUUCUGUGAUGAAACCAUCCAGCCUUGGCAACAAGGUGGUAAAAGAUGGAAGAAAAGCUGCAGCAAUGAAUAGUGCAACAGCAGAGCUGUACAGUUCAACAACCGUGACCAAAGAGUUGAGACAUGAGCACUGCAGAUCUCCAUGUGGUACAGUGCAUCAACUCAGAGCUAAGCAACAAACACAUCACACCAAGCGAGCAGCAGAAACAAAUUAAGAGAUUGUUCAAAAAAGUUCUGAAAAUAAAGGGAGUCUUUUAUUA